AGAUGAUGACGCUUCUACCAUGUUCUCUGUGAGUCACAUGGUCUUAUUUCCCUUUUUCUUCCUGUUAAUCUCAUUACAUGAAUUCUCAUCCGAUGUUUUGCAGCUUUUUCUUCUCCGAGCCGCUGGAUUCCUGCUGCCAUGCUAUAUAAUGGCAUGGAUCUUCAGUAUUUUGCAUCGCCGGCGACAAAAUGAGGUAUUUUUUUAAUCCAAUAUCAUUGGUGUCUCUCUCCAUUAGUUCAUGUGAACCUUUUUGUUGAAAUCAUUAUAUGUAUUAGAUUGUAUCCUCUUAACCAUUGAGAAGCAUCUAACCUUUCAGUUUUUUUAUUAUUGGCAGGAAGCGGCCUCAAUUGCCACGGCAGAGGUGGCAUUCAUCCUGCAAUCAGCCCAGGGCCGUGCCCUUCAGUUUACCAUCGCUCCAGACCCCCCAACCACUCCACAGCAUGAGCCACACCAGCAGCAACAGCAAUAGUUCAACAACCCAGUAGUUCCCCAAGUACCUGGCACUAUGUGCGCUUGAAGAUGUAGGUCCGGGUGCCUAUUCUGUUGUUGGUACUGGCUCAUCAGGAAUGCUAGGAAGCCUUCCUGUGGCCAAGUAAAAACCUCGUACGAUGUCACUGUCUUAUUUGUCUCGAGCAAUGCGACUAAAUCUGUCUGUCUGAAUGUAAUUUAAGCAUUGAUUUAAUGUAAAUUUAAUAUGUAUUACCUUACUAUUUUGGUGCAACCCGUGUCAUGUGCUCUGAGCGAAAUAUGUGUGUGCUGCGCAAUGCUUUAUAUGGGUAACCUGUACCUAA
Molecule: long non-coding RNA, 791 nt
Filed under: Hordeum vulgare
Lineage: Eukaryota; Viridiplantae; Streptophyta; Magnoliopsida; Poales; Poaceae
Description: long non-coding RNA (HVUL_LNC009324)
Source: RNAcentral